UAUUUUCACUACAAUGUAUUUCUUAGC
Molecule: non-coding RNA, 27 nt
Filed under: Bombyx mori (domestic silkworm)
Lineage: Eukaryota; Metazoa; Arthropoda; Insecta; Lepidoptera; Bombycidae
Source: RNAcentral